GGCAGUUCUUGGGUGACGCACCUCGGGAUCAGGCUCCCUCCUCUCUGGUUCUGAGUGCAUCACCCGAGAACCACA
Molecule: non-coding RNA, 75 nt
Organism: Myotis brandtii (Brandt's bat)
Lineage: Eukaryota; Metazoa; Chordata; Mammalia; Chiroptera; Vespertilionidae
Source: Rfam